GCUAAACGUAUAAUCUGUCUGGAGCAUGAGCAAACUUAUGUUUAUAUAAGAACAUAUUAUUUUAAUCUAGUAUGCUUUACCUUAAACUUUAAUUAUGUUACUAUGUCUUGUCUUAUAAUGGGGUUUUAAUACAAGUGUGAGGUGUCUAUUUACUGUUUAAGUGUUUAACGGAACCGAUUAAUCUCCGGUGAAGACGUUGGUCAGCCUGAAAGUAGGUCGUAAAGCUUAGGAGAAGCGCGUUAGACCUUGUUGGUGGUCCCGUCACUGCGAAAACACUUAGCUGUCUAUAGAGUAAUGCCAUUAAAACUUGUUAGGAUUCCAUAAGCCAUAGAUGUAUCUACAUAAUUAGUUUUCGUUAUUUCAUACUUGUUUACUUUAAUAUGUUUGCUAGUAUAAACAUACAUAUUUGCUCUGUUAGCCUCUAGAC
RNAcentral lists this long non-coding RNA (427 nucleotides) under Capsicum annuum. RNAcentral describes it as "long non-coding RNA (CANN_LNC006674)". The record is from RNAcentral. Lineage: Eukaryota; Viridiplantae; Streptophyta; Magnoliopsida; Solanales; Solanaceae.